Etheostoma spectabile (orangethroat darter) is the source of this 207-nucleotide long non-coding RNA. RefSeq lists it as uncharacterized. The transcript is spliced from 3 exons. Lineage: Eukaryota; Metazoa; Chordata; Actinopteri; Perciformes; Percidae. The record is from RefSeq and is a predicted model, not a curated record.
GAGCGCGUUCCAUUUGCCUCGGAAAUUGGAAGCCGAAGCUGAGAAUGACGUUACACCCGAGUUUAAUGCGUUCCAUUUACAAGUCGGAUUUUCAUUGUUUUCAUUAGCUCUAGCCAGGUUAGCCAUUGUUAGCAAUGCCAGUAUAUAACAAUGCAUCACGCUGUUUUUUGUGCAUAUGAACAGCGUAACAUCAUGUACACAGACAGA